This 497-nucleotide ribosomal RNA is filed under the name uncultured bacterium. RNAcentral's name for it is "partial 16S ribosomal RNA". It matches the Rfam family "Bacterial small subunit ribosomal RNA", at positions 28 to 507 of the family's 1533-position model. The record is from RNAcentral.
GACGAACGCUGGCGGCGUGCCUAACACAUGCAAGUCGAGCGAACCGUCGAGGAGCUUGCUCCUCUGACUUUAGCGGCGGACGGGUGAGUCACAUGUGGUUAACCUACCAAUAAGAAUUGGAUAACUUCGGGAAACCGGAUCUACUACCGGAUAAUAUAUUGAAAAGCAUGGUUCCAUAGUAAAAGUAGGUUGUGGUUUCACUUAAAGAUGGAUACGCGUCGCAUCAGCUAGUUGGUAAGGUAACUGCUUACCAACGCAACGAUGCGUAACCGACCCGAGAGCGUGGUCGGCCAGACGGGAACUGAGAAACGGUAGAGACUCCGACAGUAGGCAGCAGACGAGACUCUUCCGCAAUGGGGGAAAGCGUGACAUUGCAAAACGGAUUGAAUGAUGAAGGUGGUAGGAUCGGCAAACGCUGUUAUUAGGGAGGAAGAAAAGUUCAAGUAACUAUGCACGUAUUGACGGUACCUGAUGAAAAAGCCACGGCUAACUCCGUG